RNAcentral lists this ribosomal RNA (176 nucleotides) under uncultured bacterium. Its description in RNAcentral is "partial 16S ribosomal RNA". It matches the Rfam family "Bacterial small subunit ribosomal RNA", at positions 1317 to 1500 of the family's 1533-position model. The record is from RNAcentral.
UCCGUGAAGUUGGAUUCGCUAGUAAUCGCGCAUCAGCCAUGGCGCGGUGAAUACGUUCCCGGGCCUUGUACACACCGCCCGUCAAGCCAUGGAAGCUGGGGGUGCCUGAAGUUCGUGACCGCAAGGAGCGACCUAGGGCAAAACCGGUGACUGGGGCUAAGUCGUAACAAGGUAUC